RNAcentral lists this ribosomal RNA (429 nucleotides) under Bacillota bacterium. RNAcentral describes it as "Firmicutes bacterium partial 16S ribosomal RNA". It matches the Rfam family "Bacterial small subunit ribosomal RNA", at positions 355 to 776 of the family's 1533-position model. The record is from RNAcentral. Lineage: Bacteria; Bacillati; Bacillota.
UAGGGAAUCUUCGGCAAUGGACGGAAGUCUGACCGAGCAACGCCGCGUGAGUGAAGAAGGUUUUCGGAUUGUAAAGCUCUGUUGUUAGAGAAGAACGUUGGUAGGAGUGGAAAAUCUACCAAGUGACGGUAACUAACCAGAAAGGGACGGCUAACUACGUGCCAGCAGCCGCGGUAAUACGUAGGUCCCGAGCGUUGUCCGGAUUUAUUGGGCGUAAAGCGAGCGCAGGCGGUUCUUUAAGUCUGAAGUUAAAGGCAGUGGCUUAACCAUUGUACGCUUUGGAAACUGGAGGACUUGAGUGCAGAAGGGGAGGGUGGAAUUCCAUGUGUAGCGGUGAAAUGCGUAGAUAUAUGGAGGAACACCGGUGGCGAAAGCGGCUCUCUGGUCUGUAACUGACGCUGAGGCUCGAAAGCGUGGGGAGCAAACAGG